Molecule: ribosomal RNA, 577 nt
Filed under: magnetotactic bacterium
Lineage: Bacteria
Description: bacterial SSU rRNA
Rfam family: Bacterial small subunit ribosomal RNA
Source: RNAcentral
CUAUCUAAAUCGGGAUAACAUUGCGAAAGCGAUGCUAAUACCGGAUAUGAUUUAUUUUUUAGGAUAUGAAUUAAAGGUGGUCUCUACAUAAGCUACCGUUUAAGGGUGAGUCCGCGUACCAUUAGCUUGUUGGUGAGAUAAUAGCUCACCAAGGCGANGAUGGUUAGCUGGUCUGAGAGGAUGAUCAGCCACACUGGAACUGGAACACGGUCCAGAUACGGGAGCAGCAGUGAGGAAUUUUGCGCAAUGGGGGAACCCUGAGCCAGCAACGCCGCGUGAGUGAUGAAGGCUUCGGGUCGUAAAGCUCUGUCAAGUGGGAAGAAUAUAUUUAAUGCGAAUAGUAUUAAGUACUGACGGUACCACUGAAGGAAGCACCGGCUAACUCCGUGCCAGCAGCCGCGGAAUACGGAGGGUGCAAGCGUUAUUCGGAAUUAUUGGGCGAAAGAGCGCGUAGGCGGUCUUAUAAGUCAGAUGUGAAAUCCCGGGNCUCAACCCCGAAAGUGCAUUUGAAACUAUAAGACUUGAGUAUGGGAGAGGGAAGUGGAAUUCCUGGUGUAGCGUGAAAUGCGUAGAUAUC